RNAcentral lists this ribosomal RNA (253 nucleotides) under uncultured bacterium. RNAcentral describes it as "partial 16S ribosomal RNA". It matches the Rfam family "Bacterial small subunit ribosomal RNA", at positions 524 to 776 of the family's 1533-position model. The record is from RNAcentral.
UACGUAGGGUGCGAGCGUUAAUCGGAAUUAUUGGGCGUAAAGGGCGCGUAGGCGGUGCGGUAAGUCACCUGUGACACCUCUAGGCUCAACCUAGAGCCUGCAGGCGAAACUGCCGUGCUUGAGGGUGGGAGAGGUGCGUGGAAUUCCCGGUGUAGCGGUGAAAUGCGUAGAUAGCGGGAGGAACACCUGUGGCGAAAGCGGCGCACGGGACCACAUCUGACGCUGAGGCGCGAAAGCUAGGGGAGCAAACAGG